RNA transcript from Myodes glareolus (Bank vole), 5624 nucleotides. It is a transcript of the gene named DDB1 and CUL4 associated factor 1, with no coding region annotated. NCBI's taxonomy places the organism in Eukaryota, Metazoa, Chordata, Mammalia, Rodentia, Cricetidae. The record is from RefSeq and is a predicted model, not a curated record.
AGGGACUCCCCUCAGGAACAUCAUGUGACUUUUCAUAGCACUACACCCCCACCUACUAGGGAAUGAAGAUGAGCUGUCCCUACGGCCAAACCAUGACUACAGUAGUGGUACAUGUGGACUCCAAAGCUGAGCUCACUACCCUGCUGGAGCAGUGGGAAAAGGACCAUGGCAGUGGGCAGGAUAUGGUACCUAUACUUACCAGGAUGUCAGAAUUAAUUGAAAAAGAAACUGAAGAAUAUCGUAAAGGAGAUCCAGACCCAUUUGAUGAUCGACAUCCUGGUCGAGCCGAUCCAGAGUGUAUGCUGGGCCACUUGCUGAGAAUACUCUUCAAGAAUGACGACUUCAUGAAUGCACUGGUGAAUGCGUAUGUGAUGACAAGUAGAGAGCCCCCUUUAAAUACUGCAGCUUGCAGACUGCUGCUGGACAUCAUGCCAGGUCUAGAAACUGCGGUUGUCUUUCAAGAAAAGGAAGGAAUUGUUGAAAAUCUUUUCAAAUGGGCCCGAGAGGCUGAUCAGCCACUGAGGACAUACUCUACUGGACUGUUAGGAGGUGCUAUGGAAAAUCAAGAUAUUGCUGCCAACUAUAGAGAUGAAAAUUCACAACUGGUGGCAAUAGUGCUUCGAAGACUGAGAGAGCUACAACUUCAGGAAGUGGCUUUGCGACAGGAAAAUAAGCGUCCUAGUCCACGGAAGCUUUCAUCUGAACCGCUUUUGCCUCUAGAUGAGGAAGCUGUAGAUAUGGACUAUGGUGACAUGGCUGUAGAUGUUGUAGAUGGAGAGCAAGAAACUUCUAGAGAUAUGGAGAUCUCCUUUCGUCUUGAUUCAAGUCACAAGACCAGUAGUAGAGUGAACUCAGCAACUAAGCCUGAGGAAGGAGGAUUGAAGAAGAACAAGUCUGCAAAGCAUGGUGACAGGGAGAACUUUAGGAAGGCCAAGCAGAAGUUGGGUUUCUCAUCUUCUGACCCUGAUCGUGUUUUUGUUGAGCUGUCUAAUAGCAGUUGGUCAGAAAUGUCUCCCUGGGUGAUUGGCACCAAUUAUACCCUCUAUCCUAUGACUCCUGCUAUUGAGCAGCGACUUAUUCUUCAGUAUCUGACUCCUCUAGGAGAGUAUCAGGAGUUACUUCCUAUAUUCAUGCAACUUGGAUCACGAGAAUUGAUGAUGUUUUAUAUUGAUCUGAAACAGACUAAUGAUGUCCUUCUUACUUUUGAGGCACUCAAGCACCUAGCAUCUCUCCUGCUCCAUAACAAAUUUGCCACAGAAUUUGUUGCACAUGGUGGAGUACAGAAAUUACUGGAAAUUCCUCGUCCUUCUAUGGCUGCAACUGGUGUAUCCAUGUGCUUGUAUUACCUGUCCUACAACCAGGAUGCUAUGGAAAGAGUUUGCAUGCAUCCCCACAAUGUUCUAUCUGAUGUGGUGAAUUAUACCCUGUGGUUAAUGGAAUGUUCUCAUGCUUCAGGAUGCUGCCAUGCUACAAUGUUUUUCUCAAUUUGCUUCUCGUUUCGGGCUGUCUUGGAGCUCUUUGAUCGUUAUGAUGGUCUUCGUCGCCUGGUGAACUUGAUCAGUACUUUGGAGAUUUUAAAUUUGGAAGACCAGGGUGCACUUUUGAGUGAUGAUGAAAUAUUUGCUAGCCGCCAAACAGGCAAACAUACCUGCAUGGCCCUGCGCAAGUAUUUUGAGGCACACCUGGCCAUUAAAUUGGAACAAGUCAAGCAGUCACUGCAGAGGACUGAGGGUGGUAUUCUUGUUCACCCUCAACCUCCAUACAAGGCAUGCUCAUAUACUCAUGAGCAGAUUGUGGAAAUGAUGGAGUUUUUGAUAGAAUAUGGCCCAGCUCAGCUGUAUUGGGAACCUGCUGAAGUCUUCCUCAAGCUUUCGUGUGUGCAGCUCUUGCUACAGCUUAUUUCCAUCGCCUGCAAUUGGAAGACCUAUUAUGCAAGGAAUGACACUGUGCGCUUUGCUUUGGAUGUCUUGGCUAUUCUUACUGUGGUGCCAAAAAUUCAGCUCCAAUUGGCAGAGUCAGUGGAUGUACUGGACGAGGCUGGCUCUACUGUGUCCACUGUAGGUAUCAGCAUUAUUUUAGGAGUGGCUGAGGGUGAGUUCUUUAUCCAUGAUGCUGAAAUUCAGAAGUCAGCACUUCAGAUUAUUAUCAAUUGUGUAUGUGGCCCAGAUAACCGGAUAUCCAGUAUUGGUAAAUUUAUUUCUGGAACACCUCGGAGAAAACUGUCUCAGACCCCCAAGAGCAGUGAACAUACCCUGGCCAAGAUGUGGAAUGUGGUCCAGUCCAACAAUGGCAUCAAGGUGCUUCUGUCUCUAUUGUCCAUCAAGAUGCCCAUCACAGAUGCAGACCAGAUCCGGGCCCUGGCCUGUAAGGCCCUGGUGGGCUUGUCUCGAAGUAGCACUGUUCGACAGAUUAUCAGCAAAUUGCCCCUUUUUAGUAGCUGCCAGAUUCAACAGCUGAUGAAGGAACCAGUGCUGCAGGACAAGCGGAGUGACCAUGUCAAGUUCUGCAAAUACGCUGCUGAGCUCAUCGAGCGAGUAUCAGGAAAGCCUCUUCUCAUUGGCACUGAUGUGUCCCUGGCACGAUUACAGAAAGCAGAUGUUGUUGCCCAGUCAAGGAUCUCCUUCCCUGAGAAAGAGCUGCUCCUGUUGAUACGAAACCACCUCAUUUCUAAAGGGCUUGGAGAGACAGCGACUGUGCUCACGAGAGAGGCUGACUUGCCCAUGACUGCUGCCUCACAUUCUUCUGCCUUCACCCCAGUAACUGCUGCUGCUUCUCCUGUCUCUCUUCCCCGGACCCCUCGGAUUGCCAAUGGCAUUGCAAGUCGACUGGGCGGCCAUGCUGCUGUGGGUGCUUCCGCCCCUUCUGCCCCCCCUGCCCAUCCUCCACCACGCCCUCCCCAGGGUUCAUUGGCUUUGCCUGGACCAUCAUAUGCAGGCAACUCCCCUUUGAUUGGUAGGAUCAGUUUUAUCAGAGAGAGGCCAUCACCGUGCAAUGGCAGGAAAAUUCGAGUGUUGCGGCAGAAGUCGGACCAUGGUGCAUACAGCCAGAGCCCCGCCAUAAAAAAACAAUUGGAUAGACAUCUUCCUUCCCCACCUACACUGGACAGUAUCAUCACAGAGUAUCUUAGAGAGCAACAUGCUCGCUGCAAGAACCCCGUUGCCACCUGUCCACCCUUUUCUCUCUUUACUCCUCACCAGUGUCCUGAGCCAAAACAGAGGCGACAAGCGCCAAUAAACUUUACCUCAAGGCUAAACCGCAGGGCAUCAUUUCCAAAGUAUGGAGGGGUAGAUGGCGGAUGCUUUGAUAGGCACCUUAUCUUUAGCAGAUUUCGUCCUAUUUCGGUGUUCCGGGAAGCUAAUGAAGAUGAAAGUGGCUUUACCUGCUGUGCAUUCUCUGCUCGGGAGCGAUUUCUGAUGCUUGGUACCUGUACAGGGCAGCUGAAGCUCUACAAUGUAUUUAGUGGACAGGAAGAGGCCAGCUAUAACUGUCACAACUCAGCCAUCACACACCUUGAACCUUCCAGGGAUGGGUCCUUACUUCUGACAUCUGCAACUUGGAGCCAGCCUUUAUCUGCACUUUGGGGGAUGAAGUCAGUAUUUGAUAUGAAGCAUUCCUUCACAGAAGAUCAUUAUGUUGAGUUCAGUAAGCACUCUCAGGAUCGGGUCAUAGGCACAAAAGGAGACAUUGCCCAUAUUUAUGAUAUUCAGACUGGCAACAAGCUGUUGACUCUGUUUAACCCAGAUCUUGCCAACAACUACAAGAGGAAUUGUGCCACCUUUAAUCCUACAGAUGAUCUUGUCUUAAAUGAUGGCGUGCUCUGGGAUGUCCGCUCUGCACAGGCCAUCCACAAGUUUGACAAGUUCAACAUGAAUAUCAGUGGUGUUUUCCAUCCAAAUGGGCUGGAGGUCAUCAUCAAUACAGAGAUUUGGGACCUUCGAACUUUCCAUCUUUUACAUACUGUUCCUGCUCUGGAUCAAUGUCGUGUGGUGUUUAACCACACUGGGACAGUGAUGUAUGGAGCAAUGCUGCAGGCAGAUGAUGAAGAUGACUUAUUGGAAGAGAGGAUGAAAAGCCCCUUUGGGUCGUCCUUCCGAACAUUUAAUGCAACUGAUUAUAAGCCUAUAGCAACUAUUGAUGUGAAACGGAAUAUCUUUGACCUGUGUACGGACACCAAAGAUUGCUAUCUUGCUGUCAUUGAGAAUCAAGGCAGUAUGGAUGCCCUGAACAUGGACACAGUAUGCAGGCUUUAUGAAGUGGGCAGGCAACGAUUGGCAGAGGAUGAGGAUGAAGAGGAGGACCAGGAAGAGGAAGAGCAGGAGGAAGAGGAUGAUGAUGAAGAUGAUGACGACACCGAUGAUUUAGAUGAACUUGACACUGACCAGUUGCUGGAGGCAGAACUGGAGGAGGAUGACAACAAUGAGAAUGCAGGAGAGGAUGGAGACAACGACUUCUCUCCCUCGGAUGAGGAGUUAGCAAACCUUCUAGAGGAGGGAGAGGAGGGGGAAGAUGAAGACUCUGAUGCAGAUGAGGAAGUGGAACUGAUCCUGGGCGACAGGCUGUGUACUUAAUCCAUGAUGGGGGCAGUGAAUGAAAGCAGAGAGCCGCUACCAGUGACCGUGUCCCAACAAUCCAGAUGACACUUCCAGCUUCUGCUCAUGCUUUACAACACAGACAGCUCGGACAACUCUGAUUUGGAAGAUGACAUCAUCAUAUCUCUGAAUGAGUGAUGUGCCAUCCCCACUUGGAAGAGAAUCUUGGCAGGCGAGAGAAACUGAGUGAAUGAAUUCAGAGCACCUGCCUUUGCUGUCUCCCAGGGCUGUCCGUUAAGGAGCUGUAUGCCCUGCAUUCAGAGGACUGGUUUAGACUCUCCCUGACUCUGAGGGCCCUUCUAAAAACAAUAACAACCACAAAAAAAGACUACAGGGACUAGGCCCUAGUUUGCGUCCCCUCCUCCUAGGACGGACAUAGCUUUCCUCAAGGGAAAAACAAACAUGUCUCUGGGUAUUUCACAAUAUAUUUUCUUUGUAUAAUGUUCUUUACUUAAAGAACAAGAAAUAGUUUUUUAUAAAACUUUAAAAAGAAAAAAAAAGCAACAGGCAUUUAUAACUGAGGGUCUGAACUUAUAUCCACCAGUCUCCUAUCCUGCACUUCAUUUUCUUUGGAAGAAAAUGAUGUCUAAAGAACAAUAUAGAGGCAUUUUUACAUACGUAUUUAAAUGAAGAGGAAAAUCGUGGUUUCUUAAAUUGAUAAGGAUUAAGAAUAUUUUAUUAUAAAUAUAAUAUAUGAUUUUUUUUAACCUGUUUUGUUGCCUCAUACGCUGUCAAGUUCAUUUGUUUUCCUUUGUGCCAGAGCGGGAAUGGAAGACAUGUCCUGCUACUACUGGGAAAACGCCUAACUCCUACCUUGGUAGCCAGGCAGUUGUGUAGACCUUGUUUUUGUGGAGUUGAGAGAACUUUAAGGGUAUAAAUUCACUCCCUCUCUCUCUUUGUGAUUCAGUUUUUCGAAAGUCUUUUUUCCUUCCCUUUCUCCCCAAUGUGGAAAUUACAAAUCAAAGGUCUUUUUCUUUAAUGUAAAGUGUAUUUAUUUAAAAAAAAUACAAAAUAAACUACAAGUCUGUCUUUGUU